This 435-nucleotide ribosomal RNA is filed under the name uncultured bacterium. RNAcentral describes it as "partial 16S ribosomal RNA". It matches the Rfam family "Bacterial small subunit ribosomal RNA", at positions 29 to 507 of the family's 1533-position model. The record is from RNAcentral.
AACGAACGCUGGCGGCAUGCUUAACACAUGCAAGUCGAACGCAUGCUUUCGGUCAUGAGGCGCACGCGGGCGAAUAGCGCGGGGACACCUACCUCGUGUUGGAAGAUCUCUCCGGGAAAGGUGAUAAAAUAGGGUAUUUUUCCUGAGGGACAAAGAUUUAGCGCCAAGGGAGGGGCCCGCGUCGGAUUAUCUAGUUGGUGGGGUAACGGCCUACCAAGGCGACGAUCCGUAGCUGGUCUAAGAGGAUGAUCAGCCACAUUGGGACUGAGACACGGCCCAAACUCCUACGGGAGGCAGCAGUGGGGAAUAUUGGACAAUGGGCGCAAGCCUGAUCCAGCCAUGCCGCGUGAGUGAUGAAGGCCCUAGGGUUGUAAAGCUCUUUCACCGGUGACGAUAAUGACGGUAACCGGAGAAGAAGCCCCGGCUAACUUCGUG